GCUCAGGAUGAACGCUGGCGGCGUGCUUAACACAUGCAAGUCGAACGGGAUCCAUCAGGCUUUGCUUGGUGGUGAGAGUGGCGAACGGGUGAGUAAUGCGUGACCGACCUGCCCCAUACACCGGAAUAGCUCCUGGAAACGGGUGGUAAUGCCGGAUGCUCCGACUCCUCGCAUGGGGUGUCGGGAAAGAUUUCAUCGGUAUGGGAUGGGGUCGCGUCCUAUCAGGUAGUCGGCGGGGUAACGGCCCACCGAGCCUACGACGGGUAGCCGGCCUGAGAGGGCGACCGGCCACAUUGGGACUGAGAUACGGCCCAGACUCCUACGGGAGGCAGCAGUA
This 337-nucleotide ribosomal RNA is filed under the name uncultured bacterium. Its description in RNAcentral is "bacterial SSU rRNA". It matches the Rfam family "Bacterial small subunit ribosomal RNA", at positions 22 to 356 of the family's 1533-position model. The record is from RNAcentral.